CAUGGUUGUCGUCAGCUCGUGUCGUGAGAUGUUGGGUUAAGUCCCGCAACGAGCGCAACCCUCGACCUUAGUUGCCAGCAUUCAGUUGGGCACUCUAAGGUGACUGCCGGCUAAAAGUCGGAGGAAGUGGGGAUGACGUCAAAUCAUCAUGCCCCUUAUGACCUGGGCUACACACGUGCUACAAUGGUUGGUACAACGAGUUGCGAGUCGGUGACGGCGAGCUAAUCUCUUAAAGCCAAUCUCAGUUCGGAUUGUAGGCUGCAACUCGCCUACAUGAAGUCGGAAUCGCUAGUAAUCGCGGAUCAGCACGCCGCGGUCGAAUACGUUCCCGGGCCUU
RNAcentral lists this ribosomal RNA (337 nucleotides) under uncultured Streptococcus sp. RNAcentral's name for it is "bacterial SSU rRNA". It matches the Rfam family "Bacterial small subunit ribosomal RNA", at positions 1044 to 1382 of the family's 1533-position model. Lineage: Bacteria; Bacillati; Bacillota; Bacilli; Lactobacillales; Streptococcaceae. The record is from RNAcentral.